AUCGUAGCUGGGCAUGUUCAGUGAAUGGGAUGAUUCCAAGUGAAAGACUCGCGAGUUCGAGUGAAAGACUUGUGUGAGUUCACUCAAAAAACUCGUGAGUCCUUGGGAAGGACUCGCUAGGACUUGGCUUGCGAGUCCUUGGCGAGUUGACUCGGCCCACCAAUGGACUCGCGAGUCGACAUGGCCCACCAAUGGACUCGCGAGUCGACAUGGCCCACCAAUGGACUCGCGAGUCUUGGCGAGUCCCACAAGUUUUAAAACUAUGUUCCAAAGAGAGCAAAGGGACCACUAGAGAGGGCAUUUAAUAAUGACGCUAGAGAUAUUGCCGAUAAAUCUCUUGUUAGUUGCUUUUAUGCAAACAGUUUAUCAUUCAAUGUGGUUCGACCCCCCUAUUGGCAAGACAUGGUAAGAAAAAUAAAUGAAGCUCCAGAGGGGUACAAGAGCCUUGGUUAUGAGAGGGUGCGUAUGAUUUUAUUGUGGAAGGAGGUCAAACAUAGAGAAAUUGCAUUAGCUCGCAUUAAGGCUUCAUGGAAAGAAAUAGGCUUGUCUAUUAUUUCUGAUGAAUCGAAAGAUGCGAAAAAUAGACCAUUAAUUAGUGUGAUUGUAGUGUGCCCUAAAGGGGCAAUGUUUCUAAAAGCUUUAGAUUGUGAAGGGCAAGUGAAGAAUGCACAAUUUAUUGCUGACAUCAUUAUACAGUGCAUUAAUGAAGUAGGUCCUCAAAAUGUUGUCCAAGUUAUAAUAGACAAUGCAAAGAAUUGUAGAGCAGCUGGUAUGUUAGUUGAGACACGAUUCCCCACAUAUAUUUUGGACACCUUGUGUUGUGCAUUCACUCACCCUCAUGCUAUAGAAGUUAGGUACGAAAUUAGGUUGGAUCAAAGAAGUCUAUGCUGAAGUUGAAGAGAUCCAAAUGUUCAUAUCAUACCAACACAUGUCACAAGCUAUUUUUAGACCAUUCUCGUGACUAGGGCUAUUAAAGGUUGCUGAGACUAAAUUUGCAUCCAACACAAUCAUCUUGAGACGACUUGUGAAGGUUCGAGAGGCACUUUCCAGUAUGGUCAUCAGCCAAGCAUGGAACAUAUGGAGGCAAUCCAAUAUUGAGAGGGCAGCAAAUGUGAAGCAAAAGAUUCUAGAUGACACUUGGUGGGAUCGUGCAAAAUAUCUUCUUAGUUUCAUCGAGCCCUUCUUGUGUUUGAUCUGCUAUAUUGACAUGGAUAAGCCAUGCUUGGGGGAAGUUUAUGAUGAAAUAGACUCAAUGAUUGAGAAACUAAAAUUCAUCAUAAAUACAAAAGAGCAAGACCUUGAAGAAACCUUCUUCAAAUAGGUGCAGUCAAUUUGUGUUUAGUGAUGGAACAAAAUGACCACCCCACUCCAUCUUCUUGCCUACUCAUUGACUCCCAACUAUUAUAGUGAAGAGAUCCUUGCUAUGCCAACAAGGGUGCCACCAUAUCGUGAUACAAAAGUUGGUGAGGGGUUUAGGAAAGCUCUUACUCAACUCUUCCCUGAUGCUAAAACGGAAGAUGCAAUUACAAGUGAAUUUGCUGAUUUUGCAGCCAACAUUGGUCAUAGUCCUGUUGCUCUUCGUGACAAGUAUAAGAAGAAUGCUCACUCUCGGUGGUACCCCAAUGGCCACAAAUCGCCACACCUCCAACUUCUCACGAUCAAAGUUUUAUCACAAGUUGCUAGUUCUUCUUCAGCUGAACGAAAUUGGAGUACAUACUCCUUCAUCCACUCAGUGAAGCGCAAUCGAUUGGCAUCAAGCAAAGUAGAGGAUUUAGUCUACAUACAUUCCAACUUGCGCCUUCUUACUCACAAAAAUGAUGAGUAAAAGGAAGGGGCAAAGAAGUUGUGGGAUGUAGAACUAGAGUGUACUGACUUGGAUCUUUCUAUUGUUGCAUGAUCUUCAGUUAUUGAGGAGUCAAGUAGCCAACACACUUUUAGUGCAAGUGGUUGUGGGGCUCCACCAUCUAAUGUUAAUGUUGAUGGCAAUCUUGAUUUUGAUGACGACCCAUAUGAUGCUGAUUAGUGAACUCAGAACUGAUUACUGAUUAGUGAUUGUAGUUUGAUCUUUUUGAUAUUG
This is a long non-coding RNA of Cryptomeria japonica (Japanese cedar), 2077 nucleotides long. RefSeq lists it as uncharacterized. The record is from RefSeq and is a predicted model, not a curated record. Lineage: Eukaryota; Viridiplantae; Streptophyta; Pinopsida; Cupressales; Cupressaceae. The transcript has 3 exons.